UACAGAGGUCUCGAGCGUUAAUCGGAGUCACUGGGCUUAAAGGGUGCGUAGGCGGGCCCGCAAGUGCUUUGUGAAAUCCCAUGGCUUAACCAUGGAAUGGCUUGGCAUACUGCGGGUCUUGAGGUCGGUAGAGGCUGCUGGAACUCUAGGUGGAGCGGUGAAAUGCGUAGAUAUCUAGAGGAACGCCGAUGGUGAAGACAGGCAGCUGGGCCGAUUCUGACGCUGAGGCACGAAAGCGUGGGGAG
This 245-nucleotide ribosomal RNA is filed under the name uncultured bacterium. RNAcentral describes it as "partial 16S ribosomal RNA". It matches the Rfam family "Bacterial small subunit ribosomal RNA", at positions 524 to 768 of the family's 1533-position model. The record is from RNAcentral.